Molecule: ribosomal RNA, 613 nt
Filed under: Debaryomyces hansenii
Lineage: Eukaryota; Fungi; Ascomycota; Pichiomycetes; Serinales; Debaryomycetaceae
Description: LSU rRNA
Rfam family: Eukaryotic large subunit ribosomal RNA
Source: RNAcentral
CCAUGGAGGUUAUUGCCUUAGUUACGGCGAGUGAAGCGGCAAAAGCUCAAAUUUUGAAAUCUGGCACCUUCGGUGUCCGAGUUGUAAUUUGAAGAAGGUAACUUUGGAGUUGGCUCUUGUCUAUGUUCCUUGGAACAGGACGUCACAGAGGGUGAGAAUCCCGUGCGAUGAGAUGCCCAAUUCUAUGUAAAGUGCUUUCGAAGAGUCGAGUUGUUUGGGAAUGCAGCUCUAAGUGGGUGGUAAAUUCCAUCUAAAGCUAAAUAUUGGCGAGAGACCGAUAGCGAACAAGUACAGUGAUGGAAAGAUGAAAAGAACUUUGAAAAGAGAGUGAAAAAGUACGUGAAAUUGUUGAAAGGGAAGGGCUUGAGAUCAGACUUGGUAUUUUGCGAUCCUUUCCUUCUUGGUUGGGUUCCUCGCAGCUUACUGGGCCAGCAUCGGUUUGGAUGGUAGGAUAAUGACUAAGGAAUGUGGCUCUACUUCGGUGGAGUGUUAUAGCCUUGGUUGAUACUGCCUGUCUAGACCGAGGACUGCGUCUUUUGACUAGGAUGUUGGCAUAAUGAUCUUAAGCCACCCGUCUGAAACCCGGGGCCAAAAAAAAAAAUAAUGAAGUAAA